GACGAACGCUGGCGGCGUGCCUAAUACAUGCAAGUAGAACGCUGAAGAGAGGAGCUUGCUCUUCUUGGAUGAGUUGCGAACGGGUGAGUAACGCGUAGGUAACCUGCCUGGUAGCGGGGGAUAACUAUUGGAAACGAUAGCUAAUACCGCAUAAAAUUGAUUAUUGCAUGAUAAUUAAUUGAAAGAUGCAACUGCAUCACUACCAGAUGGACCUGCGUUGUAUUAGCUAGUUGGUGAGGUAACGGCUCACCAAGGCGACGAUACAUAGCCGACCUGAGAGGGUGAUCGGCCACACUGGGACUGAGACACGGCCCAGAAUCCUACGGGAGGCAGAAGUAGGGAAUCUUCGGCAAUGGGGGGAACCCUGACCGAGCAACGCCGCGUGAGUGAAGAAGGUUUUCGGAUCGUAAAGCUCUGUUGUAAGAGAAGAACGGGUGUGAGAGUGGAAAGUUCACACUGUGACGGUAUCUUACCAGAAAGGGACGGCUAACUACGUG
This 497-nucleotide ribosomal RNA is filed under the name uncultured bacterium. RNAcentral's name for it is "partial 16S ribosomal RNA". It matches the Rfam family "Bacterial small subunit ribosomal RNA", at positions 28 to 507 of the family's 1533-position model. The record is from RNAcentral.